Passer domesticus (house sparrow) is the source of this 688-nucleotide long non-coding RNA. RefSeq lists it as uncharacterized. The transcript is spliced from 4 exons. Lineage: Eukaryota; Metazoa; Chordata; Aves; Passeriformes; Passeridae. The record is from RefSeq and is a predicted model, not a curated record.
AAAGGACAAGAAGGGCUGAUGCUUGCAGCCUUCUGUAGUGGGAUGAUGUUGCUCUUUAUGAGCAGAUGCUUUGGCUUCAGCAUCCUGGACCAAUUUCAGCCAAUCUGUGAUAGAAGGCAAUUUAAACAAAUGGAGACAAGCAAGCCACAGUAAACAUGGUAUAGAUGCAGCUUCUCUUCCAAGUUUGUGAUUUACAGCCAGCACCAGAAGAUACGUAAGGUGAUAAAGUGAGGAAGGUACAGUCUUCAGUAAAAGUGACCCAGGACUCAAGAUGAAAGGUGCUUCUGCUGCUUCUUCCCAUAAAUAAAUGUUGAUGCCUGGUUUUGUAAUGUGCUCAGAGAUGGAAAAAAGCCUUUCUCAAACAGAGGAGGUGUGGCCAAUAGUGCAGUGAUUGCAAGUGAAAAGUUCACCAACAAUGUCAUUUCUACCAAAGUGGGGAAAAUUCUUUGUCACAUUUAGAAUGUUGUAAUUUUUAUUUUGGACUGCACAUGAGGUCUCAAAAGAAUAAAUUACACAGAUUAUAGUUGCAUAAUUGGAGGUUUUGACACAAAAGGGUACUUUAAACUUGAAAAAUAUCUGUAUAUAGAUUUGCUUCUGUUGCAUUUGUGAUUUCAGUUGUAAAUACUGCCAUUAGAGUAAUGCUAAGUUACCAGAAAUGGCAGAGGAACCAGCAGAGGAGGUGAGUAAA